GGGACGAUAAGACCCUAUAAAGUUUGUACACUAAACUAAUUUAGAGUGAUUUAGAUUUAUAAAGUUUACUAUUAGGAAGGUGUUUAGUUGGGGCGACUAGGAUACAAGUUAUCUAACUGUUUCUUUGUUAUAAUCAGAAAUAUUUGAGUUUAUGAUCCUUUUUUAGGAUUAUAGAGUAAAUUACUUUAGGGAUAACAGCGUAAUUUUUUUUGAGAGUUCUUAUCGAUAAGAAAGUUUGCGACCUCGAUGUUGAA
This 254-nucleotide ribosomal RNA is filed under the name Cherax cid. RNAcentral describes it as "partial 16S ribosomal RNA". The record is from RNAcentral. Lineage: Eukaryota; Metazoa; Arthropoda; Malacostraca; Decapoda; Parastacidae.